GACGAACGCUGGCGGCGUGCUUAACACAUGCAAGUCGAACGGAAAGGCCCGGCGUUUGUGGGGUGCUCGAGUGGCGAACGGGUGAGUAACAGGUGAGUAACCUGCGCUUGACUUUGGGAUAACUUCAUGAAACUGGGGCUAAUACCGGAUAGGAGCUACUGCUGCAGGGUAGGGGUAGGAAAGUUGCGGCGGAUGGGGUUGGACUCGCGGCUUAUCAUGGUGGGGUUGGGGUAGUGGCUUACCAAGGCUUGUAGCGGUAGCCGGCCUGAGAGGGUGACCGGCCACAUUGGGACUGAGAUACGGCCCAGACUCGUACGGGAGGCAGCAGUGGGGAAUAUUGCACAAUGGGCGGAAGCCUGAUGCAGCAACGCCGCGUGCGGGAUGACGGCCUUCGGGUUGUAAACCGCUUUCGCCUGUGACGAAGCGUGAGUGACGGUAAUGGGUAAAGAAGCACCGGCUAACUACGUG
This 468-nucleotide ribosomal RNA is filed under the name uncultured bacterium. Its description in RNAcentral is "partial 16S ribosomal RNA". It matches the Rfam family "Bacterial small subunit ribosomal RNA", at positions 28 to 507 of the family's 1533-position model. The record is from RNAcentral.